UAUCUCUGUAGAGUCUGCAUAUCAAUAAGCGGAGGAAAAGAAACUAACAAGGAUUCCCCUAGUGACGGCGAGUGAAGCGGGAAGAGCUCAAAUUUGAAAUCUUCAAGGUUUGACCUUGACGAAUUGUAGUUUAAAGAAGUGUUUUCGGUUAGAGGAGUAGUAAAAGUUCUUUGGAAUAGGACAUCAUAGAGGGUGAGAAUCCCGUAUUUGACUAUUCUUUCUAGCUUUGUGAUACACUUUCAAAGAGUCGGAUUGUUUGGGAAUGCAGUCCAAAAUGGGUGGUAAAUUUCAUCUAAAGCUAAAUAUUGGCGAGAGACCGAUAGCGAACAAGUACCGUGAGGGAAAGAUGAAAAGAACUUUGAAAAGAGAGUUAAACAGUACGUGAAAUUGUCAAAAGGGAAGCGUUUGACACCAGUGUUGUUUUCCGAAAAUCAAUUAAAAAUUGAUUCAUGCCAGGUUGUAUUGACCUCAUCAGCUUGCAAUGCUUAGGUUUUGGGUCAUUUUUUGAUGCACUUUUCGGUUAACAAGUCAACAUCAAUUUCCUUUGCUGUAAAAAGGUAAGAGGAAGGUGGCUUCAAUUUCGGUUGAAGUGUUUAUAGCCUUUUAUCUCUGCAGUCGGGGAGAUUGAGGUCUGCAGCGUAGAUCCUUCGGGGCUAGAUACAUUUAUGCUAAGUUAUAGCUUUUCAUAGACAACUUGUUGACUAUGUUUAGUCAUGUAGCUUACUCGUAAGUGCUAUUUUACCUACGCUUAGGAUGUUGAGCGCAUGUCUCUCUCU
RNAcentral lists this ribosomal RNA (776 nucleotides) under uncultured Neocallimastigales. RNAcentral describes it as "partial large subunit ribosomal RNA". It matches the Rfam family "Eukaryotic large subunit ribosomal RNA", at positions 24 to 644 of the family's 3401-position model. Lineage: Eukaryota; Fungi; Neocallimastigomycota; Neocallimastigomycetes; Neocallimastigales. The record is from RNAcentral.